GAUGAACGCUGGCGGCGUGCCUAAUACAUGCAAGUCGAGCGAACAGACGAGGAGCUUGCUCCUCUGACGUUAGCGGCGGACGGGUGAGUAACACGUGGAUAACCUACCUAUAAGACUGGGAUAACUUCGGGAAACCGGGGCUAAUACCGGAUAAUAUAUUGAACCGCAUGGUUCAAUAGUGAAAGACGGAUUUGCUGUCACUUAUAGAUGGAUCCGCGCCGCAUUAGCUAGUUGGUAAGGUAACGGCUUACCAAGGCAACGAUGCGUAGCCGACCUGAGAGGGUGAUCGGCCACACUGGAACUGAGACACGGUCCAGACUCCUACGGGAGGCAGCAGUAGGGAAUCUUCCGCAAUGGGCAAAAGCCUGACGGAGCAACGCCGCGUGAGUGAUGAAGGUCUUCGGAUCGUAAAACUCUGUUAUUAGGGAAGAACAAAUGUGUAAGUAACUAUGCACGUCUUGACGGUACCUAAUCAGAAAGCCACGGCUAACUACGUG
RNAcentral lists this ribosomal RNA (497 nucleotides) under uncultured bacterium. RNAcentral describes it as "partial 16S ribosomal RNA". It matches the Rfam family "Bacterial small subunit ribosomal RNA", at positions 28 to 507 of the family's 1533-position model. The record is from RNAcentral.